Molecule: long non-coding RNA, 222 nt
Filed under: Lathyrus oleraceus (garden pea)
Lineage: Eukaryota; Viridiplantae; Streptophyta; Magnoliopsida; Fabales; Fabaceae
Description: Pisum sativum (pea) long non-coding RNA (PSAT_LNC022569)
Source: RNAcentral
GCAAACCAACCAUAAAUGAAACGUGUCAAAGGAAGUUUUGCGUGAAAAAUAUUUUUUUUCUUCCUCCUUGCUUGUCCGUUGCAACAAUAACAUGACGUCUUUUUUUUAAUAAAAACAAAAACAAAUUCUUCUUCUCCAAUCAUGAACCAAAAAUAACAACAUUAACAAUCAAAGAAAACUUGGAUAUCAAAUCUUUAUCUCUCACUUACUCUCUAAAUCAAG